GAUGAACGCUGGCGGCGUGCCUAAUACAUGCAAGUCGAGCGAACAGACGAGGAGCUUGCUCCUCUGACGUUAGCGGCGGACGGGUGAGUAACACGUGGAUAACCUACCUAUAAGACUGGGAUAACUUCGGGAAACCGGAGCUAAUACCGUAUAAUAUAUUGAACCGCAUGGUUCAAUAGUGAAAGACGGUUUUGCUGUCACUUAUACAUGGAUCCGCGCCGCAUUAGCUAGUUGGUAAGGUAACGGCUUACCAAGGCAACGAUGCGUAGCCGACCUGAGAGGGUGAUCGGCCACACUGGAACUGAGACACGGUCCAGACUCCUACGGGAGGCAGCAGUAGGGAAUCUUCCGAAAAGGGCGAAAGCCUGACGGAGCAACGCCGCGUGAGUGAUGAAGGUCUUCGGAUCGUAAAACUCUGUUAUUAGGGAAGAACAAAUGUGUAAGUAACUAUGGACGUCUUGACGGUACCUAAUCAGAAAGCCACGGCUAACUACGUG
Molecule: ribosomal RNA, 497 nt
Filed under: uncultured bacterium
Lineage: Bacteria
Description: partial 16S ribosomal RNA
Rfam family: Bacterial small subunit ribosomal RNA
Source: RNAcentral